Molecule: long non-coding RNA, 5918 nt
Organism: Oryzias melastigma (Indian medaka)
Lineage: Eukaryota; Metazoa; Chordata; Actinopteri; Beloniformes; Adrianichthyidae
Exons: 5
Source: RefSeq, a predicted model, not a curated record
CUGAAUCCACAGGGGGACAGGCCAGGAUAGACGGUCUGGCUCUGCCUGAGAGAGGGCAGCAGGUGGUCGCUUUUAGCUUUUUUAUGGAAAAGUUUGAGCCUUUGAUAAGUAGAAAGUUGGUACACCAACUCCUUUCAGCGGGUGCACUUCAAUCCAUAACUUUGGGUUAAAACAAGUUCCCCAUCUUGACUGUGAUCACUCGUCCUUAUCUCCUUUGAGGCUGUAAAAUGAUCAACUGCUUAAGACCCACUCCAAUGAAAAUCCUGUUUUUGGUGAUGCUCUUGUGGCACUUUUCUCAUGAUGGAGGACACACAUAAAGAAAACCGACGGAGGAAGCCAACUUUCAACAAUCAGAAUUACCCCAAACAACAGCUCCUCAAUGAUGACAACCUGACAGGAUGGAAGAAAAAAACCUUCUAAAAGCAUGACUGAACAGAGUGGAGUAGACGGACCUCAGGAGACGGACGGAGCCGAUGUGGAGGACAGGACAGGAGUCCCCGGCUUCGACACAUUCCUUUUGCUUUUGACCAGAGGCAACAGUUUGAAGUUAGCAGUCCUGAACAAACAGGAUCAAAGUGGAGGGUUUCCAUGACAACGAUCUCAGAAUCAGCUCGUCUGACAGCAGCUCAUGGAGGGGCUAAUCUGGCCGACGCCACCUGGAGGAAGGGAGUAAUAGCCCGGGAGGUCCUGGGACUGGUGCCUGGGAACGCCUGCAGGACACAAACACACAUGUUUGUAAUCGGUGCUUUCUCAUUUGCAUAAUGUUGCUUAAAACGCUAUCGGACGACGGCCACUUGAAGCAGACUCGGCCGUCGGGUCAGGACCCUGCCCUGGGUCUGACGUGCUAUUAGCGCCAUUAUGUGCCUGGGAACCUGCCAUUAAAAGGCAGAGAUGCUCUGAUUGCAAACUGUGAAUGCGCGAGGAUCCUCCACUAAAGAGCCCCGCAUUGUAAAAUCCACGCCAGCCUUCGUCCUUCAUCUUCAUCCCGAGCAAAAAGGCAACAAAAGACGAGCAGACAGUAAACACGGCUCUCUGACAGCCUCUGCCUUGGUGCCCUUCAAAGGAAGUCAUUUGUCAACAGGCAGCACCUAGCACUUACUGCCACCAGCCUGCGAACCUGUGUUUGCAGCGCAGGAAUGCUCUAGAUGACUGUAAUUUGGCAGCGGCUCCGGGCCUGUCUCAGGACCCCGAGCUGCUAUAAAUCUGGAUUCAGGAAUGCGGCCAAGUCAGCUGACCUGCCUCGCCGCUUUGGCCUCCCCCCCUCUCCUCUCCCACCCUCAUCUUCUGCGGCUGCCCUCUGACCCCGCUCGGUCCAGACUCGUGGUUUCUGCCCUCAUUAUCACCCUUCUUUUACCUCUGACCCCGCUUCUUCAUCUUUCAUUUCACCUCCCCUGAUCCCUGUCUCCUCUUUUUUCUCUCCCAAAAUUCUCCUUCAGAAAGCACAUCUACAGUUUGGAAGUAAAUUUCACCUCUAACCUACCGAAAAUGUAGUGGAAUAAAUCAAAAUAUUUGACUUUGGUUGCAUAGCUUAAUUAUUGCAGAAUUUUGUUUUCAAAUGAACUCAGACAUUUACGAGCAGCUCAGAUGUUCAAGCGCUUGUGGGAGGGGAUUUUUGUGUCAUAAAGAGCAGUUUUCCCAGCAUGCAUCAAACCCGCCCAUGCAGAGGAUUUUUUUUUUUUCAAGGUAAAUUCACAUUUUUUCAAAAAAAAAUAACACAGUUGACACACAACCUAUAUGGAGACUAACAACAACAGCCCAAAACUUUUCGUCACAGAGUUUAGUAGAAAAAUGCUGCGUCAGUCAUGAAUUUAUGGAGAAAAUGUUUGGUGACUCACAGUGAGUCAGUCAAGUAUCAGGUCAAAUCUGCUGCAGAUAAAAGCAGAAACUCAAAGUGAACACAUUUAGCAUCACGUCUAUUGCACUAUUUUGGAUUUUUUUUAGAAGUGUUCAGUGGCUGUGACAUGGUUUAUUGAGGAAAAGUUAAUAAUUUACUCUUUCUGCAUGUUUAGUUUAACUCAAGGCGAAACAGAAAAAAAAAAGUUCCUAUCAAUACUCCACCAGAUUGAGGCCUUGAGUGAAUCACAACACUGCAAAAAGUGAAAAGAAAUAUUGGAAUUGAAAGUAAAAGAUACCUGAUGUGGAUACUGAUGAAUCCUUGAGGAAAUUUGGCAUCAAAACCUUAAAUUGAAAGCUACGUUUGAGUCAGCUGUGAUGGAAAACACGAGUGUAGUUUCUGGAAGUCACAUUUUUACAUCAGUUAAUAGCGCUGUCUGCUGUUGGGAAACCUGAAGGGGGAAAUUAGCAGCAGUAAUGGGGCAGUUUUUGUUGGAAUGCCCCCUUUUUUUUUUUUUUUGUUAAAGCUGCAGACUAUCUCACGCUUGUAGAGUCGGUGUCUUGGGAAACACUUCAAAAGGGAGCCAUUUGAAUCAUGCCGGCUCUGUGGGAGCUCGGGCGAGUUAAAAUGAGAGUCGAGGAGACGAAAAUAGUAUUCCUGAGCUGAUAAUGUGCUGUCGUGGUUCUAACCACUGAAAGUGAAAGCGCUGCAGCUUCGAAGCUUUUAAAUGACUUGACAAUGAGCCUGUGUGGUGUACUUAAAAGGGCUCAAGACCAGAAAAAGCUUUGUAGUGUACAGUACAGGCGGUAAUGACAAAUCAAAACUUAUAGCUAUUUCUUCAUAGCAUCAAAAACUGCAAUAAAAUAUGGAUUUUUUUGCCCAAUUUCAUAAUCUAGAAUGAUUUCUCCACACUAUUUGUUUUAGUUUCACAUAUUUUGUGUUUUUAAGCAGAAUGACUCAUACUCUCGCUGUCAAUUUAAAGGUGUGAACUAAAGAAAAGUGCAAACAGCUAUUCGGGUCCCAGUUUGAGCAUCUUUUAUUCUAUAUCAAUCUGUGUUUUCCAUAUUUUUUAAAAAUUAAAGUGGGUUCGUUUUGCGUCUUUUCUUUUAAACCAUUCAUAAAGAAAAAUCAUCAAAAUUAAUUCAAAAACCUAAAACCACAAAUGUGUAAAACGUUCUUUUUGAGCCAGCGGAGUGACCACGGCAGCAGAGUGCUGGCCUCAGGAGGUGUGAAAGCCACAACUUCCUGCUCUUCUUGGAAACUUUACUAAAGUUGCUUAUAGAUGCAAAAGUGCAAAGAUGCUUUUAAAAAAAAGAGUCAAAAAUAUUUUCAUCCAGACAAUCGGAAAACAGUAAUUUACAGCAGCAAAUUACCUGCUUAUUUAUGAAAAAAGUACUGUAUGUGCAUCUUAUGAAUGAUUUCAUACAAAUGUUUUUUUUUUUUUUUUUUUAUAGACGUGAUUCCCUAAUUGAGACGAUGCAACAGAUAUUUAUUUUCUACCAAACUUCUUCUUUUGUUUGCCUGUGUCCUUGAUGGGACACGCACUUUCUUACAGUAGAUGCACACGUUUCACUUCUACUUUUUGGCUCUUUAUUUUAUGAUCCAUCGUCUGACCAACAGUCAUAAGUGGAAAACAGUGCAGCCUGACGAUGUUUUGAAUCCCACACAGGGGACAGAAAUGACUGGAUGAUCGACAGAAAGGGUCUGUGUAACCUAAAUUUAAAAGUCUGCAACUUCAAUUUAAAACUGCUUUAAGACGAUCAAAAUGUUACUUACAAUAUUUCUACAAAAGUAAAUCUGCAUGUGCAAUCACAGCUACAUUUAGACCUGAUCUUGAGAAAGAGCUAAAUAUUUUUACUUUUCUCAAGCUUCUAAUGCUGAUGAUGCUCAGGUAAAACACAGUAAGCAGUCACUUAGUAAACAAUAUUUAAGACAGCCUCUAGGUAAGAUGUUACUAAAAGUCAAGUCCCAUUUUUGGGCAGAAGUAAAAACAAAGAGUGGGCGGGUGUGAAAAGAGCACAGAAUGGAAACCAAGCAGAGAGAUGGAAGUUAGAGUCGUAAACAUGCAAAAAAAAGAAAGAAAAAACAGAUUAAAAUAAGAAAAUGUGUUAAAAAUGAGAAGAUUUUUGGAUUAAUGUAAAUAUUUUCUUUAGUUAAUAUAAAGUGACAAAGAAACAAAAAGAUAAAAAAAAGUUAAGUUUAAAAAUAAAACAAAAUAGAGAAAACUGUUUUACAAAAAUCAAUUAUUCCGUUUUUUUCAAGACUUUAAAGUUGGAUUCUAACUUUCUCUAUUACUAGAUUAAUUGGGAAAUUAGAAAAAAAUAGAAAACACAAACUGUGAUCAAGUUUUAACUUUUAUACCUUUAAAAAAUAUUAAAACAAAAGUCUAAAACUGCAAAAAAGAGCUUUUUGAUCAGCUCUAGUCAGACAGAGAUAGAAAGGUGUGUGAGCCCAUGACAUCAUCAGUCUUACCUGGAUCAGCUGACAAAUGAUAGAUGUGAAGUAAGCUCCUGCAUGUGUUAUGUUUGAGGUGGGAAGGACACGGCAGAUGAGACGCAGCGGCAGCAGCAGCGGCGGGCGGCCAGGUGUUAGGUGUGUGACUGUGUGUGAGGUAGAAGCAGGUGGCUCAGUCUGUCAUUAUCAGCUGAGUCACUGUGUUCGUGUCGGAUGUGGACGCACAAAGUCUGAACAGGGAGGCGAGGAGCAUGUGUUUGAUGGAGGAGGGGGAUUUCCAGACGGAGCAGGCAGGAGAUGGCCUCAGGUCUUUUCUGCUUAAUACCUAAUCGCAGCCGCACAAUACUUUCAUUGUUCUCCGCUCUGUUUUCUAUUGUUUUUUUCUCAGCCUCUUCAUUCAUGUAUGAAAAAAAAUCUACGUGUAAUGUUUUAGCCGUCUCGUUUGGAGCAGCUGGGAGAAAAAUCUAAAUUUAAAGACCCACUCUGAUGAAAAUUGUGCUUUUAACAUGCAUUUUUCUGCCAAUAAAAGUGAUAUAAUAUAGAAAAGUAAGCUUAAAACUGCAUUUCUGAAUAUUUCUGUCUUCAAAUCAUUCUGAAUCUGGAGAAAACAAAAAAGAAUGCUUCAUUCUGAUGCAUCCACUUGCAGACAAACAGAUCCAUGAUCCAUCUUUAUUUUCCUCAUCUGAGCUGAAAUCUGGAUCAAUACUGUACAAUUGGAUAGUUCUAAUAUUUUGUUGUGCCAGUUGGGGUUGUGAGGAGGUAUAAGCUAGUGGGAGAGCGUGUAACGGUCCCGCUCACAACUCGAAGGUGAACUAUGUUCUAGAAAACAACACAGAUUUUUUAAUUUUCACUUUAGGCCUGAAAGAUGAAAUUCUAUACUCAAUUCUUUCACUUUUCUUCAAAGAAACAGAACUAAAAAUCAUAGAGAAUAAAGUUUUUGUUUAUUUUAGUUUUCCCGAAACAGUAAAAACCCUCCUUGGUUCCUGCAUUCUUCGUCUUUCCUUUCUAUUAUUUCCUUUUCUAUCAUUAAGAUGAUCUUAAAUUAAGAUUAGUGUAAUCUGUAGACAUAAUAAGCAGGUGUAAAUGAGGCUCUCUGCAAAAAUGUUUAUGCUACAUGCAUAAACGGUGGCACGGAUCAUGUUUAUGAAGCUACUUAUUAUAUUCCUCCAGAACUCAACUUGAUAUCAAACCUAGACAGUUUUAAACUAAAAAAAUACAUUUUUAGAAUGGCUUUUAAUACUCGCAUGUUGGUGCCAUCUUUUUUUCUUAUUUGUUUUUAUUUGUUUUUAUUUAAUUAUAACUUUUUUUAAAAUGUGCUCAUAUUUAAAAUGUUCUUUUUAGCACUUUAUCACCCGGAUGUAAUUGAAAAGUGCUACACAAAUAAAAUUGUAUUCACACUUUUCCAAAAUGACAUUUUUCAUCUAAAUUUGUCGUAUAUGUUUCACAGAGGAGUAACAGAUUUGUUGCACUGAUAUAAUUUGUUCACUGAAACACAGUUAAGACAUGAAAAAGUAAAAAAAACUGCAGUACCAGUUACAGCCACUAGAGGCAAGCUACAAAACAGCUUCUGUUUAGCUUUUGUAGUUUUAUGAGCAAAAAUUACUCUUUAUUUUAUUAGCGUGUUGGUAAA